AGGACGAACGCUGGCGGCGUGCUUAAUACAUGCAAGUCGAGCGAGAAGCCACCGCUCCGUAAGGAGUGGUGGUGGAAAGCGGCGAACGGGUGAGUAACACGUGGGUAAUGUGCCCUGAACAUCGGGAUAACAGCCGGAAACGGCUGCUAAUACCGAAUAACCCUGCAAUGUCGCAUGACGAAGCAGGCAAAGUUCCGGCGGUUCAGGAUCAGCCCGCGGUGUAUCAGCUUGUUGGUGGGGUAACGGCCUACCAAGGCUUUGACGCAUAGCUGGCGUGAGAGCGCGACCAGCACACUGGGACUGAGACACGGCCCAGACUUCUACGGAAGGCAGCAGUA
Molecule: ribosomal RNA, 338 nt
Filed under: uncultured soil bacterium
Lineage: Bacteria
Description: bacterial SSU rRNA
Rfam family: Bacterial small subunit ribosomal RNA
Source: RNAcentral